This is a non-coding RNA of Paraphoma chrysanthemicola, 109 nucleotides long. Lineage: Eukaryota; Fungi; Ascomycota; Dothideomycetes; Pleosporales; Phaeosphaeriaceae. The record is from the annotation of a GenBank genome assembly.
GGGCAUGUGGUCUAAUUGGUAAGACGCCCCUCCGACUUCCGCCACCGCCGCCACCUUUCGGGUUCGCCCGCUUUCUGGGGAGACACGAGUUCGAAUCUCGCCAUGUCCA